This is a long non-coding RNA of Cynoglossus semilaevis (tongue sole), 1508 nucleotides long. RefSeq lists it as uncharacterized. The record is from RefSeq and is a predicted model, not a curated record. The transcript has 2 exons. NCBI's taxonomy places the organism in Eukaryota, Metazoa, Chordata, Actinopteri, Pleuronectiformes, Cynoglossidae.
GGAAUAGGUUGUACGGUCCUUAUUUCCGGUUGCGGAUUCGGCGCUGGAGACACGAGUGUUAGCGGUUUGGGCUUCCAACUGGCGUUCAAGUCAAGACACUGGGCUACAUCUGAUUGAUUGAAAUGGUGGGUUUUUGAAAACGAUUGACGGUUGUAUUUUGUACAGGUCCAGACCGUUAGUGCAGUUUACGCUAGCGUAUGCGUCUCAGCAGAUAACGUUAGAUUUUGUCUGAAGUUAAAAUGAUUCGUAGUUAGUUUUUCGUCCUAUCAUAUCAAAUAAUGAAAUCAUGAGACGGGGACACGACUACUAACGGUGCCUCAAAGGACAACAUUCUUUUCUUUUCUUUUUAACUCUUGGAUUUGUCAUUAUUUAUAUAUGUAUGGAAUUGUGAGGUGACCCUCCAGUCAUUUGAGACCCCCGCUCCAAAGUAGAACAACAGAAAUAAGUGAAUGAGAAAUGUAUUUCCUUAUAUUUAUUUAUAAGUUUAUACUGUACGUAAACUGAAGUAAACAUUGACAAUUUCCUGGGGGUUAUAACAAGGUACACAAAAAAAACAAAAAAACACACACAGUAGGUGUUGGUCACUCUGUCCAUACUACAGACCUUGUAAUGUGAAUCCACUGACUUAUAUUCUUAAAUAGACGUUAGAAUAUUUGUUGUUGUCUUUGCCUCUCUGGAUCACAUCAAGACUUUAAAACCGAGAGACCAGUGAACUCUGCCAUUUCUCCAAUCAUGGAUCACGUAAGAUGAAUUUGUCACUGUGCAAUGUGUAUCCUAGUAGAUCAACAGUGACCUCGAACCUUGCAUUUGUGUGCGUGUGUUGUAGGUGCUUAUGGGAGAUGGGCAGGAGGCCAUGGAAGUGACCACAACCUCCACCAGGAUUGGCAAGUUUGAGGUCAGUCUCAUUGGCAGAGAACGUAUAUUUGUCAUGUCUUGUCGACACACUUUGAGCAGCUUGAAGAACUGGUGGUCUCAAACUCUGGGUCCUUAUACACAUGUUUACUGUGAUCGGUUCCAUUUCCCUCCUCCUCUGGACUGACGGAGUUAUUUUGGCUGUAUCCAGGCCGACAUAAUCAGUCACCUCACUACAAGCUGCUUCCUGACCCAACACAGGGAAACAGGAGGCCACAGUUUAUUUCCACAACACCCACAUUAUAUUUUAUGGAGUUGGGUGUAUUUUUCUUGGCUCAGUACUUGUUGGAAAAUAUUUUUAUGGUGAUUGUUGUCUUUUUGAAUAUUCAUUGUAUAUAUUGUUCCUUUUUUCCUGUUUGGAGUGAUAUUCUGGAAUUACAUUUAAAGGACAUUAAAAAACAAAAACAGGACGGACGUAGCAGCAGUCACUCAUUUAAACAACUUUUAUUAAGUCUUUACAAAUAAAGUAACAAAUUUCACUGUAUUGUAGCGCAAAGCGCAGUUUGUCUUUUGUCAUGAAGCUUGAACACUCUAUACUUAGUGCAAAACAUACCAUAGACGACAGCCAAUGACUCUCUACGUGGAUUGAUGUUUUU